AUAUAUAUAUUAUUUGUUUGGUGACUUCCAUUAAUAGAGAGUCAUACUAGAUAGAGAGUCAUACUAGAUCCUUGGAUCUCUCUCUCUCUCUCUGCAUCUGGCGAUCUACAGCACAGAAACCCUUGAAGUUCUUCUGUUAGCCGCUCGAGUCCCUCUCUGGUAUAUGUGAUGAAACUGUACAGAAUUCAAUAUGGGUCUUCUAAAUGGCUACACUUACGUUGUCUUUCAUCAUCAUGAACACGAUCUCCAUUCUCAACUUGAGUUUGCUCUGGUGAUUGGGUUUUGGGUACACAUAAGAGUGGUUUUGUCUUGCAGGCGUAAUCGACAUGAUGGGUCUCCUAAUUGGCUACACUUACUUUGUUUUUCUUCAUCAUCGUCACGAUCUCCAUCCUCCUCAACUUAGGUUUGCUCUCGUGAUUGGGUUCUGGGCACAAAUGCAGGAACAACUAGCAAAAAGUAUAUGGAUAUAGAAUUAACAUAACAAUUACAUUUCCAAUAUGGAACUCCCAGUUUCGAAGAUUCUGAGCCUCAACCAAGGUUAACUGAACUUUCCUUGUUACAAAAUGUUGUUAUCUUAAUUUUUUAUCUUUUUAUUUUUUCAAAUGUAUUAUUUAGAAGCAGGGCUUAGGUUGUGAAGGUACUAGAUUCCGUAUAAUCAAUAGCUUGUUUUACCCUGAA
This is a non-coding RNA of Camellia sinensis, 678 nucleotides long. The record is from RefSeq and is a predicted model, not a curated record. NCBI's taxonomy places the organism in Eukaryota, Viridiplantae, Streptophyta, Magnoliopsida, Ericales, Theaceae.